GGUGCUCACGGUAUCCCCAUAACACUACCCCUACUCCCGAGUCUGAGAAUUAGAGAAAGAAAGUACUCCAAAAGUACCUCGAACUCGAUGCCGGAUGUUUCUGCUUUCACGCCUGUCUUCUACAUUUAAGGCUCAUGGUGUCAGCUUGAUACGGUCGUUACGGAUGAGCGCAAUUGUUGGGACCACUCAGACGACGUUCCUCUCGAAGCUUUAAUUAUUUUGCGGUGGCUUUUUAUUUUUUUUCUCUUUUAAAUUCACGCUUUGAAGAACGAAUAUGCACAAAUUUUUUAGUAUUGAUUUCUCAUCAUUUUCUUAGGGCUGGAUGGAUUCACAAUGCGUGAAGAAGCUAGAGCAGAUUCUGGCUCGAAGGAGACAAGUUGUGGUUCCAGUUGCUAAAGCGGAACCUGCGGUCAGGAAAAAAGAUCAUGCCAUUUUUGCCAUCGAGCCCACGUCCCCAUCAUCGAAAGAUAUGGUGCAUGAUUCGUCAGAAAAAGUUUUGAUCGAUGGGGCACUGUCGGAGACAACAUUGAAAAUGAGUAUCGUGGGAUGCUUCAAAGAGGAUCCGACUGAGAUAUCGAGGAUGGAGAAGGUGGUUGAUGAUUCGGAGAAGGAUCUGAUGAUGUCAAUGGAAACUGGGGG
This 639-nucleotide long non-coding RNA is filed under the name Elaeis guineensis (African oil palm). RNAcentral's name for it is "long non-coding RNA (EGUI_LNC026961)". The record is from RNAcentral. Lineage: Eukaryota; Viridiplantae; Streptophyta; Magnoliopsida; Arecales; Arecaceae.